GACGAACGCUGGCGGCGUGCCUAAUACAUGCAAGUCGAACGCAUUUUCUUUCACCGUAGCUUGCUACACCGAAAGAAAAUGAGUGGCGAACGGGUGAGUAACACGUGGGUAACCUGCCCAUCAGCGGGGGAUAACACUUGGAAACAGGUGCUAAUACCGCAUAAUUCCAUUUACCGCAUGGUAAAUGGAUGAAAGGCGCUUUUGCGUCACUGAUGGAUGGACCCGCGGUGCAUUAGCUAGUUGGUGGGGUAACGGCCUACCGAGGCUGCGAUGCAUAGCCGACCUGAGAGGGUGAUCGGCCACACUGGGACUGAGACACGGCCCAGACUCCUACGGGAGGCAGCAGUAGGGAAUCUUCGGCAAUAGACGCAAGUCUGACCGAGCAACGCCGCGUGAUUGAAGAAGGUUUUCGGAUCGUAAAACUCUGUUGUUAGAGAAGAACAAGGAUGAGAGUGGAAAGUUCAUCCCUUGACGGUAUCUAACCAGAAAGCCACGGCUAACUACGUG
Molecule: ribosomal RNA, 507 nt
Filed under: uncultured bacterium
Lineage: Bacteria
Description: partial 16S ribosomal RNA
Rfam family: Bacterial small subunit ribosomal RNA
Source: RNAcentral